This 301-nucleotide ribosomal RNA is filed under the name uncultured bacterium. RNAcentral describes it as "partial 16S ribosomal RNA". It matches the Rfam family "Bacterial small subunit ribosomal RNA", at positions 509 to 808 of the family's 1533-position model. The record is from RNAcentral.
CAGCAGCCGCGGUAAUACGUAGGUCCCGAGCGUUGUCCGGAUUUAUUGGGCGUAAAGCGAGCGCAGGCGGUUAGGUAAGUCUGAAGUUAAAGGCCGUGGCUUAACCAUAGUACGCUUUGGAAACUGUUUAACUUGAGUGCAAGAGGGGAGAGUGGAAUUCCAUGUGUAGCGGUGAAAUGCGUAGAUAUAUGGAGGAACACCGGUGGCGAAAGCGGCUCUCUGGCUUGUAACUGACGCUGAGGAGCGAAAGCGUGGGGAGCGAACAGGAUUAGAUACCCCCGUAGUCCCUGUCUCUUAUACC